RNAcentral lists this ribosomal RNA (549 nucleotides) under uncultured Rhizophagus. RNAcentral's name for it is "SSU rRNA". It matches the Rfam family "Eukaryotic small subunit ribosomal RNA", at positions 548 to 1098 of the family's 1831-position model. The record is from RNAcentral. Lineage: Eukaryota; Fungi; Glomeromycota; Glomeromycetes; Glomerales; Glomeraceae.
UUGGAGGGCAAGUCUGGUGCCAGCAGCCGCGGUAAUUCCAGCUCCAAUAGCGUAUAUUAAAGUUGUUGCAGUUAAAAAGCUCGUAGUUGAAUUUCGGGGUCAGUAGGUCGGUCGUGCCACUGGUAUGAACUGGUUUUACUGAUUCCUCCCUCUUGAAGAACUGUAAUGCCAUUAAUUUGGUGUUGCAGGGAAUCAGGACUGUUACUUUGAAAAAAUUAGAGUGUUUAAAGCAGGCUUUAGCUUGAAUACAUUAGCAUGGAAUAAUGAAAUAGGACGUUUGAUCCUAUUUUGUUGGUUUCUAGGAUUGACGCAAUGAUUAAUAGGGAUAGUUGGGGGCAUUAGUAUUCAAUUGUCAGAGGUGAAAUUCUUGGAUUUAUUGAAGACUAACUACUGCGAAAGCAUUUGCCAAGGAUGUUUUCAUUAAUCAAGAACGAAAGUUAGGGGAUCGAAGACGAUCAGAUACCGUCGUAGUCUUAACCAUAAACUAUGCCGACUAGGGAUCGGAUGAUGUUAAUUUUUUAAUGACUCAUUCGGCGCCUUACGGGAAAC